RNAcentral lists this ribosomal RNA (310 nucleotides) under uncultured bacterium. RNAcentral's name for it is "partial 16S ribosomal RNA". It matches the Rfam family "Bacterial small subunit ribosomal RNA", at positions 503 to 807 of the family's 1533-position model. The record is from RNAcentral.
AAGAGACAGCAGUCGCCGCGGUAAUACGGAGGGGGCUAGCGUUGUUCGGAAUUACUGGGCGUAAAGCGUACGUAGGCGGCUUUGUAAGUUAGAGGUGAAAGCCUGGUGCUCAACACCAGAACUGCCUUUAAGACUGCAUCGCUUGAACGUCGGAGAGGUGAGUGGAAUUCCGAGUGUAGAGGUGAAAUUCGUAGAUAUUCGGAAGAACACCAGUGGCGAAGGCGGCUCACUGGACGACUGUUGACGCUGAGGUACGAAAGCGUGGGGAGCAAACAGGAUUAGAUACCCCGGUAGUCCCUGUCUCUUAUAC